Molecule: ribosomal RNA, 497 nt
Filed under: uncultured bacterium
Lineage: Bacteria
Description: partial 16S ribosomal RNA
Rfam family: Bacterial small subunit ribosomal RNA
Source: RNAcentral
GAUGAACGCUGGCGGCGUGCCUAAUACAUGCAAGUCGAGCGAACAGACAAGGAGCUUGCUCCUCUGACGUUAGCGGCGGACGGGUGAGUAACACGUGGAUAACCUACCUAUAAGACUGGGAUAACUUCGGGAAACCGGAGCUAAUACCGGAUAAUGUAUUGAACCGCAUGGUUCAAUAGUGAAAGACGGUUUUGCUGUCACUUAUAGAUGGAUCCGCGCCGCAUUAGCUAGUUGGUAAGGUAACGGCUUACCAAGGCAACGAUGCGUAGCCGACCUGAGAGGGUGAUCGGCCACACUGGAACUGAGACACGGUCCAGACUCCUACGGGAGGCAGCAGUAGGGAAUCUUCCGCAAUGGGCGAAAGCCUGACGGAGCAACGCCGCGUGAGUGAUGAAGGUCUUCGGAUCGUAAAACUCUGUUAUUAGGGAAGAACAAAUGUGUAAGUAACUAUGCACGUCUUGACGGUACCUAAUCAGAAAGCCACGGCUAACUACGUG